UUCCGGUUGAUCCCGCCGGACCUGACUGCUAUCGGAUUGGUACUAAGCCAUGUGAGUCGUUGUAGCAAUACAAGGCAUACGGCUCAGUAACACGUAGUCAAUCUAACCUAUGGACGGGGAUAACCUCGGGAAACUGAGGAUAAACCCCGAUAGAUCAUUAUGCCUGGAACGGUUUAUGGUCUAAAUGAUUCGUCGCCGUAGGGUGGGACUGCGGCCUAUCAGCUUGUUGGUGAGGUAAUGGCCCACCAAGGCUAUUACAGGUACGGGCUCUGAGAGGAGAAGCCCGGAGAUGGGUACUGAGACACGGACCCAGGCCCUAUGGGGCGCAGCAGGCGAGAAACCUUUGCAAUGUGCGCAAGCACGACAAGGUUAAUCCGAGUGUUUCCUGCUAAAGGAAUCUUUUGUUAGUUGUAAAACCACUGAUGAAUAAGGGGUGGGCAAGUUCUGGUGUCAGCCGCCGCGGUAAAACCAGCACCUCAAGUGGUCAGGAUGAUUAUUGGGCCUAAAGCAUCCGUAGCCUGUUCUAUAAGUUUCCGGUUAAAUCCAUUAGCUCAACUAAUGGGCUGCCGAAAAUACUGUAGAACUAGGGAGUGGGAGAGGUAGACGGUACUCGGUAGGAAGGGGUAAAAUCCUUUGAUCUAUUGAUGACCACCUGUGGCGAAGGCGGUCUACCAGAACACGUUCGACGGUGAGGGAUGAAAGCUGGGGGAGCAAACCGGAUUAGAUACCCGGGUAGUCCCAGCUGUAAACGAUGCAGACUCGGUGAUGCCCUGGCUUGUGGCCAGUGCAGUGCCGCAGGGAAGCCGUUAAGUUUGCCGCCUGGGAAGUACGUACGCAAGUAUGAAACUUAAAGGAAUUGGCGGGGGAGCACCACAAGGGUGAAGCCUGCGGUUCAAUUGGGAUUCAACGCCGGA
This 914-nucleotide ribosomal RNA is filed under the name uncultured archaeon. Its description in RNAcentral is "bacterial SSU rRNA". It matches the Rfam family "Archaeal small subunit ribosomal RNA", at positions 1 to 922 of the family's 1478-position model. The record is from RNAcentral.